Molecule: small RNA, 21 nt
Filed under: Arabidopsis thaliana (thale cress)
Lineage: Eukaryota; Viridiplantae; Streptophyta; Magnoliopsida; Brassicales; Brassicaceae
Description: Ath_wt_13342
Source: RNAcentral
GACGUCGCUGCCGUGAUCGUG